Molecule: ribosomal RNA, 460 nt
Filed under: uncultured bacterium
Lineage: Bacteria
Description: partial 16S ribosomal RNA
Rfam family: Bacterial small subunit ribosomal RNA
Source: RNAcentral
CCUACGGUGCGCAGCAGUGAGGAAUAUUGGUCAAUGUGCGCGAGCCUGAACCCGCCAAGUAGCGUGAAGGAUGACUGCCCUACGGGUUGUAAACUUCUUUUAUAAAUGAAUAAAGUGAGGCACGUGUGCCUUUUUGUAUGUACUUUAUGAAUAAGGAUCGGCUAAAUCCGUGCCAGCAGCCGCGGUAAUACGGAUGAUGCAAGCGGUAUCCUGAUUUAUUGGGUUUAAAGGGGUCGUAGGCGGUCGGAUAAGUUAGAGGUGAAAUCCCGAGGCUCAACUUUGGAAUUGCAUCUGAUACUGUUCGGCGAGAGAGUAGUUGCGGUAGGCGGAAUGGAUGGUGUAGCGGUGAAAUGCUUAGACAUCAUACAGAACACCGAUUGCGAAGGCAGCUUACCAAGCUACUUCUGACGUUGAGGCACGAAAGCGUGGGGAGCAAACAGGAUUAGAUACCCUGGUAGUC